GGGCCUAUGGUCUAGUUGGUUAUGACACCGCCUUUACACGGCGGAGGUCGCCGGUUCGAAUCCGGCUGGGCCCA
This 74-nucleotide transfer RNA is filed under the name Methanospirillum hungatei. Its description in RNAcentral is "tRNA-Val". It matches the Rfam family "tRNA". Rfam says of the family: Transfer RNA (tRNA) molecules are approximately 80 nucleotides in length. Their secondary structure includes four short double-helical elements and three loops (D, anti-codon, and T loops). RNAcentral also lists the same sequence under 7 other names. Lineage: Archaea; Methanobacteriati; Methanobacteriota; Methanomicrobia; Methanomicrobiales; Methanospirillaceae. The record is from RNAcentral.